GCGCCCGUAGCUCAGUUGGAUAGAGCAUCUGGCUUCGAACCAGAGGGUCGGGAGUUCGAGUCUUCCCGGGCGCACCA
Molecule: transfer RNA, 77 nt
Filed under: Gammaproteobacteria bacterium
Lineage: Bacteria; Pseudomonadati; Pseudomonadota; Gammaproteobacteria
Also listed under: 2 other names
Description: tRNA-Arg
Rfam family: tRNA
About the family: Transfer RNA (tRNA) molecules are approximately 80 nucleotides in length. Their secondary structure includes four short double-helical elements and three loops (D, anti-codon, and T loops). Further hydrogen bonds mediate the characteristic L-shaped molecular structure. tRNAs have two regions of fundamental functional importance: the anti-codon, which is responsible for specific mRNA codon recognition, and the 3' end, to which the tRNAs corresponding amino acid is attached (by aminoacyl-tRNA synthetases). tRNAs cope with the degeneracy of the genetic code in two manners: having more than one tRNA (with a specific anti-codon) for a particular amino acid; and 'wobble' base-pairing, i.e. permitting non-standard base-pairing at the 3rd anti-codon position.
Source: RNAcentral